Molecule: long non-coding RNA, 433 nt
Organism: Ornithodoros turicata
Lineage: Eukaryota; Metazoa; Arthropoda; Arachnida; Ixodida; Argasidae
Exons: 2
Source: RefSeq, a predicted model, not a curated record
GCUGUGCCGGUUGGAACCGGCGUUCACGGAGUCGCCGGUGUCUGUUUCAGACGGCUCGUGUUGUGUUGCGAUUGGGUUGGAGUAUGGGUUGUGAUUUUUCCUGUUUAAAAACGCAAGCUGUAUCAUGUGAGUCCCCUUGAACAGUCACAUCCGCCAGGGAGGAUGCCUGCGCAACUUUCUGCUCUGCUUCUUGGUGUAGAAACGAUUCGAGAGUCCGAACGCCUCGUACCCGAUACCCGGUCAACGACUGCCGACAGCCACUGAGCUCCAGCCCCCUGUAGCUGUCCUUGCAAGAGGCUGUCAGGCUUCUUCAAACAAAUUCCGGAGCAAUAUUAGUGUCAUAUGUUGUUUUCGUUACCGCAGUCAUGCUGUAUACGUCUUGCUUUGUAUAACCGCAUGUCGCACAAUAAAAUACUUCAUGUGACAAAAACAA